AUGCAACUCUGGUCGCUGGAGGGGGCGGCGGAGAUCAUCGGCGACAAGUGCGUCGUCGAUCGGCUUGACACGCGCACCCACGAAUGCGGCCACACCAAGACCUUCGCGUGCUGGGUGUGGGUGUGGGACAUCGCCAACAUCCCCACCAGACGCAUCAUUUGGCGGGCGAAGCACGGGGCGGGGUGCGUUGUGGCCAUGCUCGGGCACUCGCCGCCCAGCCGUGAGGUCGCCCCGCCACCCGGAGUAAGAAGGCAUGACAUGCUGGUCCACGUCGACAGGGUGGAAGACUGGACCCCGCCGUCCCCGCGCCCCUCCCGCUCCGCCCAGAGCGGCCUCCUCUCCUCGGGCUCUAAUGACGGCGCCCCUUUCCCAGCUGUCUACCCGGGCACCUGGACCCGGCGGGUGGAGGAUGGGCAGGGCCACGCCAGGAGGGAGCCACCGACGGUGGCCCCUUCUGGCUGCCAGGGACUGCAGCUGGGCGGCGCUCGCCGUGACCACGAUGACCCCGAUGGUGAUGGCCACAGUGGCCGUCGCUCUUGGAAGGACACACUGUUGGGUCGGGGCCACGCCAGCCGCCCGCUUGCAGCAUAG
RNAcentral lists this ribosomal RNA (591 nucleotides) under Triticum aestivum (bread wheat). RNAcentral describes it as "partial small subunit ribosomal RNA". The record is from RNAcentral. Lineage: Eukaryota; Viridiplantae; Streptophyta; Magnoliopsida; Poales; Poaceae.